Coregonus clupeaformis (lake whitefish) is the source of this 382-nucleotide long non-coding RNA. RefSeq lists it as uncharacterized. The transcript has 3 exons. The record is from RefSeq and is a predicted model, not a curated record. NCBI's taxonomy places the organism in Eukaryota, Metazoa, Chordata, Actinopteri, Salmoniformes, Salmonidae.
CUGUGCAGCUUUCACCUGUAUCCAGACUAGGAGCACCAUUCGACAGAAAAUUGAGGUUUUGGGGAUUAAACUCGAUCUGGAGUCAGGUGGAUAGAAGAUCCUGCAACCGCUUUGUCAAUAUAAAUGCAAACAGAGAGUCGGCCACCAGGAGAAAGAUAUGGCAUCUUGUGCAGGGUCGGACCUGGGGAUCAUUCAGCUGGGGAAGACUGGAGCAGGGAAGAGUGCAACAGGAAACACCAAAGAGGUGUUUAUAGAAGAUUUCGCUUCUGAGUCUGUGACUACACAAUGUGAGGAUGUCCAGAGGAUAAAGAAUACAGCUUGGGACACUACUGAAACAGUAGGAGGAGGAAGAGGAGGAGGAGAAACAGGAGGAGGAGGAGUA